Molecule: ribosomal RNA, 891 nt
Filed under: Streptomyces sp.
Lineage: Bacteria; Bacillati; Actinomycetota; Actinomycetes; Kitasatosporales; Streptomycetaceae
Description: bacterial SSU rRNA
Rfam family: Bacterial small subunit ribosomal RNA
Source: RNAcentral
AGAGUUUGAUCCUGGCUCAGACGAACGCUGGCGGCGUGCUUAACACAUGCAAGUCGAACGAUGAAGCCCUUCGGGGUGGAUUAGUGGCGAACGGGUGAGUAACACGUGGGCAAUCUGCCCUUCACUCUGGGACAAGCCCUGGAAACGGGGUCUAAUACCGGAUAACACUCCUCUGGGCAUCCAGGGGGGUUGAAAGCUCCGGCGGUGAAGGAUGAGCCCGCGGCCUAUCAGCUUGUUGGUGAGGUAGUGGCUCACCAAGGCGACGACGGGUAGCCGGCCUGAGAGGGCGACCGGCCACACUGGGACUGAGACACGGCCCAGACUCCUACGGGAGGCAGCAGUGGGGAAUAUUGCACAAUGGGCGAAAGCCUGAUGCAGCGACGCCGCGUGAGGGAUGACGGCCUUCGGGUUGUAAACCUCUUUCAGCAGGGAAGAAGCGAAAGUGACGGUACCUGCAGAAGAAGCGCCGGCUAACUACGUGCCAGCAGCCGCGGUAAUACGUAGGGCGCAAGCGUUGUCCGGAAUUAUUGGGCGUAAAGAGCUCGUAGGCGGCUUGUCGCGUCGGUUGUGAAAGCCCGGGGCUUAACCCCGGGUCUGCAGUCGAUACGGGCAGGCUAGAGUGUGGUAGGGGAGAUCGGAAUUCCUGGUGUAGCGGUGAAAUGCGCAGAUAUCAGGAGGAACACCGGUGGCGAAGGCGGAUCUCUGGGCCAUUACUGACGCUGAGGAGCGAAAGCGUGGGGAGCGAACAGGAUUAGAUACCCUGGUAGUCCACGCCGUAAACGGUGGGAACUAGGUGUUGGCGACAUUCCACGUCGUCGGUGCCGCAGCUAACGCAUUAAGUCCCCGCCUGGGGAGUACGGCCGCAAGGCUAAAACUCAAAGGAAUUGACGG